GAGUUUGAUUAUGGCUCAGGAGGAACGCUGGCGGCGUGCCUAACACAUGCAAGUCGAGCGAGAAAUAGUCAGACGGAGAUUUCGGUUGAAGGAUGGUUAUGGAAAGCGGCGGACGGGUGAGUAACGCGUAGGCAACCUGCCUCAUGCAGAGGGAUAGCCUCGGGAAACCGGGAUUAAAACCUCAUAAGGCCAAGGGGACACAUGUUUUCGUGGUCAAAGAUUUAUCGGCAUGAGAUGGGCCUGCGUCUGAUUAGCUGGUUGGUGAGGUAACGGCUCACCAAGGCGACGAUCAGUAGCCGACCUGAGAGGGUAAACGGCCACAUUGGAACUGAGACUCGGUCCAAACUCCUACGGGAGGCAGCAGUGGGGAAUAUUGCACAAUGGGCGAAAGCCUGAUGCAGCAACGCCGCGUGAGCGAAGAAGGCCUUUGGGUCGUAAAGCUCUGUCGAUAGGGAAGAAAAAGGUGACCGUACCNUCAGAGCC
RNAcentral lists this ribosomal RNA (483 nucleotides) under Peptostreptococcaceae bacterium canine oral taxon 125. RNAcentral describes it as "bacterial SSU rRNA". It matches the Rfam family "Bacterial small subunit ribosomal RNA", at positions 9 to 473 of the family's 1533-position model. Lineage: Bacteria; Bacillati; Bacillota; Clostridia; Peptostreptococcales; Peptostreptococcaceae. The record is from RNAcentral.